This is a non-coding RNA of Peromyscus maniculatus bairdii (prairie deer mouse), 650 nucleotides long. The record is from RefSeq and is a predicted model, not a curated record. Lineage: Eukaryota; Metazoa; Chordata; Mammalia; Rodentia; Cricetidae.
GCCUCCCCAGCAGGUAGCCUAAGUGCAGCAUAAGUCUGCUGGGGACGCGCUAGCGACCAAGGACCCGCCCAGGCCACUCUUUUAGGCAAGCGCGGGGCGGGCCCGGCCGGGGGCGGUGCCGCUCAUACGGCUCCUAUAAGGAGCUGUCCGCCACCCCGGUGCUGAAUCCAGCUCUAACACCGGAACGAGGUGCUUUUGGCUAUUGCUGGAGCUGAGCGCCAAGAGCUGCCCUCGAGUUUGGAUUUGAACCUUUAAGGAAGGAGAUCCGGAGGAAGAAGAGGCAGACGAGGAAGGCGGGCACAGAAAGGGGCAGUUGAAGGAACUAUAAACCUCGGUCGCAGCUCGCAGCUCCGAGGAAGCCCUGCCACUGUUUCGGUGGAGCGUCUGAGGAGCAGGAUGGAGUAAAGGAGAAGAGUGUCUGUUCAAGGGGGGUGGGAGGGGGCUCGGCGGUGCGGAGGAGAGAAAACAGAGACAGAAAGGAAAAAGAGAGAAAAGCCAAAGCUGGUGCCUGCGAAUUUGGAAUUCGAUUGGAAGAGAUCGUUCACUCGGGGGAAAUGGAUUCUGUACCAAGACUGACGAGCGUUUUGACUUUGGUGCUCUCUGGCUUCUGGCAUUUAGGAUUAACAGCAACAAAUUACAACUGUGUUGAC